AAAAAAACACAUGUCAAAGUUACCCAGGACCUUUACGAUGAAAAUGACACCUUGUAUAUACCAAUGAUAUGCUCAGUUUGGUUCCUAGGGUGAAAAGAUCCAGGGUCAAUAUUGUCAAUAAUGGCAUCAGGCUGUCCAAAUUGGGGGUAAGGGUCGAUUUAACAUUUUGUUAGCCUACGGCCACAUAUCUUAGUAUAUAUAAA
Molecule: long non-coding RNA, 203 nt
Filed under: Mytilus galloprovincialis (Mediterranean mussel)
Lineage: Eukaryota; Metazoa; Mollusca; Bivalvia; Mytilida; Mytilidae
Source: RNAcentral